GUGCUCGCUUUGGCAGCACAUAUACCAAGAUUAGAUAAUACAGAG
Molecule: small nuclear RNA, 45 nt
Filed under: Cervus elaphus hippelaphus
Lineage: Eukaryota; Metazoa; Chordata; Mammalia; Artiodactyla; Cervidae
Source: RNAcentral